RNAcentral lists this ribosomal RNA (441 nucleotides) under uncultured bacterium. RNAcentral describes it as "partial 16S ribosomal RNA". It matches the Rfam family "Bacterial small subunit ribosomal RNA", at positions 338 to 795 of the family's 1533-position model. The record is from RNAcentral.
CCUACGGGUCGCAGCAGUGAGGAAUAUUGGUCAAUGGGGGAAACCCUGAUGCAGCGACGCCGCGUGGGUGAAGAAGUCUUUCGGUAUGUAAAGCCCUAUCAGCAGGGAAGAAAGAAGACGUUACCUUACUAAGCUGCCCCGGCUAACUACGUGCCAGCAGCCGUGGUAAUACGUAGGGGGCGAGCGUUAUCCGGAUUCACUGGGUGUAAAGGGAGCGUAGACGGCCGGGCAAGCCAGGAGUGAAAGCCCGGGGCCCAACCCCGGGACUGCUCUUGGAACUGUGCGGCUAGAGUGCGGGAGGGGCAGGCGGAAUGCAUGGUGUAGCGGUGAAAUGCGUAGAGAUCAGGAGGAACACCGGCGGCGAAGGCGGCCUGCUGGACCGCGACUGACGUUGAGGCUCGAAAGCGUGGGGAGCGAACAGGAUUAGAUACCCUAGUAGUC